This 506-nucleotide ribosomal RNA is filed under the name uncultured bacterium. RNAcentral's name for it is "bacterial SSU rRNA". It matches the Rfam family "Bacterial small subunit ribosomal RNA", at positions 1 to 507 of the family's 1533-position model. The record is from RNAcentral.
CACUGACGAGUUUGAUCAUGGCUCAGGAUGAACGCUAGCGGCAGGCCUAACACAUGCAAGUCGAGGGGCAGCACGUCUUCGGAUGGUGGCGACCGGCGCACGGGUGCGUAACGCGUAUGCAACCUACCUUUAACUGGAGCAUAGCCCCGAGAAAUCGGGAUUAAUACUCCAUAACAACAAGAAGUGGCAUCACUUUUUAUUUAAAGCUUUGGCGGUUAAAGAUGGGCAUGCGUGACAUUAGUUAGUUGGUGAGGUAACGGCUCACCAAGACUUCGAUGUCUAGGGGUUCUGAGAGGAUUAACCCCCACACUGGUACUGAGACACGGACCAGACUCCUACGGGAGGCAGCAGUGAGGAAUAUUGGUCAAUGGGCGCAAGCCUGAACCAGCCAUGCCGCGUGAAGGAUGAAGGCCUUAUGGGUUGUAAACUUCUUUUAUACGGGAAUAAACUUAGUUACGUGUAACUAACUGCAGGUACCGUAUGAAUAAGCACCGGCUAACUCCGUG